CAGCCGCCGCGGUAAUACGGAGGGUGCAAGCGUUAAUCGGAAUUACUGGGCGUAAAGCGCACGCAGGCGGUUUGUUAAGUCAGAUGUGAAAUCCCCGAGCUUAACUUGGGAACUGCAUUUGAAACUGGCAAGCUAGAGUCUUGUAGAGGGGGGUAGAAUUCCAGGUGUAGCGGUGAAAUGCGUAGAGAUCUGGAGGAAUACCGGUGGCGAAGGCGGCCCCCUGGACAAAGACUGACGCUCAGGUGCGAAAGCGUGGGGAGCAAACAGGAUUAGAUACCCGCGUAGUCCCUGUCUCUUAUAC
RNAcentral lists this ribosomal RNA (301 nucleotides) under uncultured bacterium. Its description in RNAcentral is "partial 16S ribosomal RNA". It matches the Rfam family "Bacterial small subunit ribosomal RNA", at positions 509 to 807 of the family's 1533-position model. The record is from RNAcentral.